CCUAGCUGCAAGUCGAACGGCAGCAUGGUUUAGACUUGUUCUAGACUGAUGGCGAGUGGCGAACGGGUGAGUAACGCGUAGGAAUAUACCCUGAAGUGGGGGAUAACUUGAGGAAACUCAAGCUAAUACCGCACGAACUCUGAGGAGCGAAGCUGGGGCCUAUAUUUAUAUAGCCUGGCGCUUUGGGAUUAGCCUGCGUCUGAUUAGCUAGUUGGUGGGGUAAUGGCCUACCAAGGCGACGAUCGGUAGCUGGUCUGAGAGGAUGGUCAGCCACACUGGGACUGAGGCACGGCCCAGACUCCUACGGGAGGCAGCAGUGGGGAAUAUUGGACAAUGGGGGCAACCCUGAUCCAGCAAUGCCGCGUGUGUGAAGAAGGCCUGCGGGUUGUAAAGCACUUUCAGUGGGGAGGAUGCUAUGGCUGGUUAAGAGCUGGUUGUGGUGACGUUACCCACAGAAGAAGCACCGGCUAACUCCGUGCCAGCAGCCGCGGUAAUACGGAGGGUGCGAGCGUUAAUCGGAAUUACUGGGCGUAAAGGGUGCGCAGGUGGUUUGGUAAGUUAUCUGUGAAAUUCCCGGGCUUAACCUGGGCUGGUCAGAUAAGACUGCUGGACUUGAGUAUAGGAGAGGGCAGUGGAAUUUCCGGUGUAGCGGUGAAAUGCGUAGAUAUCGGAAGGAACACAAGUGGCGAAGGCGGUUGCCUGGCCUAAUACUGACACUGAGGCACGAAAGCGUGGGUAGCGAACAGGAUUAGAUACCCUGGUAGUCCACGCUGUAAACGCUGUCAACUAGCUGUGGCCAUAUAGACAUGGGUUAGUGGCGUAGCAACGCGCUAGUGGACCGCCUGGGGAGUACGUCGCAGAUAAAACUCAAAGGAAUUGACGGGGCCCGCCACAA
This 895-nucleotide ribosomal RNA is filed under the name uncultured bacterium. Its description in RNAcentral is "bacterial SSU rRNA". It matches the Rfam family "Bacterial small subunit ribosomal RNA", at positions 47 to 928 of the family's 1533-position model. The record is from RNAcentral.